Molecule: unclassified non-coding RNA, 337 nt
Filed under: soil metagenome
Description: partial contains 5.8S ribosomal RNA, internal transcribed spacer 2, and large subunit ribosomal RNA
Rfam family: 5.8S ribosomal RNA (bases 1-121)
Source: RNAcentral
GAUGAAGGAACGUAGCGAAAUGCGAUAAGUAAUGUGAAUUGCAGAAUUCAGUGAAUCAUCGAAUCUUUGAACGCACAUUGCGCCCGCCAGUAUUCUGGCGGGCAUGCCUGUUCGAGCGUCAUUUCAACCAUCAAGCCCCCGGCUUGUGUUGGGGACCUGCGGCUGCCGCAGGCCCUGAAAAGCAGUGGCGGGCUCGCUGUCACACCGAGCGUAGUAGCAUACAUCUCGCUCUGGGCGUGCUGCGGGUUCCGGCCGUUAAACCACCUUCAUAACCCAAGGUUGACCUCGGAUCAGGUAGGAAGACCCGCUGAACUUAAGCAUAUCAAUAAGCGGAGGA